Molecule: transfer RNA, 65 nt
Filed under: Bavayia robusta
Lineage: Eukaryota; Metazoa; Chordata; Lepidosauria; Squamata; Diplodactylidae
Description: tRNA-Cys
Source: RNAcentral
CAYCCUGUAGUGAGUGUCACGUCAAAUUGCAAAUUUGAAAAAGUUCCUAUUUGGUUCCAGGGCUU